Long non-coding RNA from Melanotaenia boesemani (Boeseman's rainbowfish), 98 nucleotides. RefSeq lists it as uncharacterized. The transcript has 3 exons. The record is from RefSeq and is a predicted model, not a curated record. NCBI's taxonomy places the organism in Eukaryota, Metazoa, Chordata, Actinopteri, Atheriniformes, Melanotaeniidae.
CUGUCGCCCCAACACACUUACCAGCUGCAUGCCACAGAUGAAGGCCAAGGUGCACCUGCCACUACAGCAUCCCAUGAUGUCCUGCUCCCAAUCUGCUG